Long non-coding RNA from Leptopilina heterotoma, 659 nucleotides. RefSeq lists it as uncharacterized. The transcript has 5 exons. NCBI's taxonomy places the organism in Eukaryota, Metazoa, Arthropoda, Insecta, Hymenoptera, Figitidae. The record is from RefSeq and is a predicted model, not a curated record.
CGCCACGUUUGAUAAUAGCAGAGAACCAAGCAUGUUCGACAAUCGUCAUCGCGUUUCUUCAUAUUUAAAGUAUAUUUCUUCAUUGUUGGCCAUUGUCCAGCUGCGCUGCUAAUUUCCGGAUCUUGCAGCGGGAAUAUCUCGUCAUUAGCUGGAUUCAAUCGUCAUCAUUCGAGUAAAACCAUUGUAAAGAUCACUCCAUUGGUGGCCGCUAUUCACUUAGGAAAAUGCAGAUGCCGGCAACAAGAAAUUCGAGUCAUAAGAACUGGGUCUUUCUACAACAAAUUGUUGUUUUCGAAGUUUUUAUACUUUGAUUAAUUAUUAUAGAAAGGGAUCUCCUGGUUUGAAUGACUUGAAGAUUAUUGUCACUAGCCGGAUUCAAUUGUCUACGCUAAAGGGAAUUCAUCAUAAAUUUCCCCUCAAUGAUGCGGCCAGUGUUCAUCUACGAAAUUCGACAAGAACCGAGUCAACGAUGCGAAAAUCGCCUACCCUGGCGGGAAUCCAUGCUAAAUACAAAGGAGCAGACAAGAGAAGAAAGAGACAAAGGAGACAACGAUUUGGGACAUACAAAAGAGAAAGGACAACUAGACAAAAGAAAAAGUAAUAAGUCAGUGCGCGUUUUUAAACCGUUUUGUUUUUGUUCAAAAAGUUUUGAAAGUAUU